RNAcentral lists this long non-coding RNA (590 nucleotides) under Sorghum bicolor (sorghum). RNAcentral describes it as "long non-coding RNA (SBIC_LNC006760)". The record is from RNAcentral. Lineage: Eukaryota; Viridiplantae; Streptophyta; Magnoliopsida; Poales; Poaceae.
UGACCAGAAAUAUGAUGCAGCUAUCAGCAGUGAUUCAUUCCUAUGCAUAUCGGCAAUGGACAACCUAAUGCAUUGGUCUAGCUUUCUCUCACCCCACUGGACCUCAUUUGAGUUGCUGACUCUCAAAAACCAAUCUGUCCAUCCUACAGUAGGGCUGGGCCAAGAACGGAAAGUGUCCCUCCACAGAUCCAAAGAAAAGUUCUCGGCCCUAAAAGGAAUCCUGUUGGUUUCUGCGUUAAUGAGAUCGGUUGGAUCUGGAUCCCCUAACGGGCCAAGGCAUUGGAGAUGUGGCUGAUCGGUGGGGAUGACAAUUUUGUUGGACAACUCCUAAUAGUUUUGAAGGUAAAAAAAGGGAAAACAAUGAAAGAAAAAGAAAAUAUUCAGUACGAUGGAUUGCGGAUGAACAGGGAUGUGAGAAAAAGUAUAGGAGAUGGAAUGAAGAACUGACCUCACGAACGACGAAGUUGACGGCCAUCUUGCCGCGGGGAGGAUGAUCGAGGGCUUCGGAGUUGGUGAAGAAGGAACUUCGUCAGGGAUCUCGGAGACCUUGAGUAGCGCCGCCGCUGGGAAAGUAAAGUUGGGGUUUUGGA